AGCGAACGCUGGCGGCAGGCUUAACACAUGCAAGUCGAACGGGCACCUUCGGGUGUCAGUGGCAGACGGGUGAGUAACACGUGGGAACGUACCCUUUGGUUCGGAACAACUCUGGGAAACUGGAGCUAAUACCGGAUACGCCCUUAUGGGGAAAGGUUUACUGCCGAAGGAUCGGCCCGCGUCUGAUUAGCUAGUUGGUGGGGUAACGGCCUACCAAGGCGACGAUCAGUAGCUGGUCUGAGAGGAUGAUCAGCCACACUGGGACUGAGACACGGCCCAGACUCCUACGGGAGGCAGCAGUGGGGAAUAUUGGACAAUGGGCGCAAGCCUGAUCCAGCCAUGCCGCGUGAGUGAUGAAGGCCUUAGGGUUGUAAAGCUCUUUUGUCCGGGACGAUAAUGACGGUACCGGAAGAAUAA
RNAcentral lists this ribosomal RNA (417 nucleotides) under uncultured bacterium. Its description in RNAcentral is "bacterial SSU rRNA". It matches the Rfam family "Bacterial small subunit ribosomal RNA", at positions 29 to 489 of the family's 1533-position model. The record is from RNAcentral.